CAAUAGCGUAUAUUAAAGUUGUUGCAGUUAAAAGCUCGUAGUUGGAUUUGUGGCGUACGGCGGACCCCCUUCUCUAUUGGGAGUCGGUGUGGUCUGGCGUUGCCAUCCUUGGGUGGAAUCUGUGUGGCAUUAGGUUGUCGUGCAGGGGAUGCCCAUCGUUUACUGUGAAAAAUUAGAGUGUUCAAAGCAGGCUUAUGCCGUUGAAUAUAUUAGCAUGGAAUAAUAAGAUAGGACCUUGGUACUAUUUUGUUGGUUUGCGCACCGAGGUAAUGAUUAAUAGGGACGGUUGGGGGUAUUCGUAUUCCAUUGUCAGAGGUGAAAUUCUUGGAUUUUUGGAAGACGAACUACUGCGAAAGCAUUUACCAAGGAUGUUUUCAUUAAUCAAGAACGAAAGUUAGGGGAUCGAAGACGAUCAGAUACCAU
RNAcentral lists this ribosomal RNA (423 nucleotides) under uncultured eukaryote. RNAcentral's name for it is "bacterial SSU rRNA". It matches the Rfam family "Eukaryotic small subunit ribosomal RNA", at positions 592 to 1018 of the family's 1831-position model. The record is from RNAcentral.